AGGCGGCGGUGGGCAGCUGCCGGUCUGAAUAAGGCUGGAGGAAAGUCCGGACUCCGCAGGGCAGGGAGUCCCUUGAACAAAGGGAUGCCGGGGACCAUAUUCCCCGGAAAGGAAAGUGCAACAGAAAGCAAACCGCCGGAUGCAAAUCCGGUAAGGGUGAAAGGGCAGGGUAAGAGCCUGCCGGGAGUUGAAGUAAUUCUCUCCGUCAAGGUAAACCCCUCCCGGAGCAAGACCAAAUAGGGGGUGAUGCUGCUGCCCGCAGCGUUUGAAUCCCGGGUACUGGUCGCAUUAGACAGAUGGUUGCCGCUCUUGCAAAAGAGUACAGAAUCCGGCUUACAGCCGUCGCCUCUUU
Molecule: RNase P RNA, 352 nt
Filed under: Lentisphaeria bacterium
Lineage: Bacteria; Pseudomonadati; Lentisphaerota; Lentisphaeria
Description: RNase P RNA component class A
Rfam family: Bacterial RNase P class A
About the family: Ribonuclease P (RNase P) is a ubiquitous endoribonuclease, found in archaea, bacteria and eukarya as well as chloroplasts and mitochondria. Its best characterised activity is the generation of mature 5'-ends of tRNAs by cleaving the 5'-leader elements of precursor-tRNAs.
Source: RNAcentral